UGCCGCGUGAGUGAAGAAGGCCUUUGGGUUGUAAAGCUCUUUCGUCGGGGAAGAAAAUGACUGUACCCGAAUAAGAAGGUCCGGCUAACUUCGUGCCAGCAGCCGCGGUAAUACGAAGGGACCUAGCGUAGUUCGGAAUUACUGGGCUUAAAGAGUUCGUAGGUGGUUGAAAAAGUUAGUGGUGAAAUCCCAGAGCUUAACUCUGGAACUGCCAUUAAAACUUUUCAGCUAGAGUAUGAUAGAGGAAAGCAGAAUUUCUAGUGUAGAGGUGAAAUUCGUAGAUAUUAGAAAGAAUACCAAUUGCGAAGGCAGCUUUCUGGAUCAUUACUGACACUGAGGAACGAAAGCAUGGGUAGCGAAGAGGAUUAGAUACCCUCGUAGUCCAUGCCGUAAACGAUGUGUGUUAGACGUUGGAAAUUUAUUUUCAGUGUCGCAGGGAAACCGAUAAACACACCGCCUGGGGAGUACGACCGCAAGGUUAAAACUCAAAUGAAUUGACGGGGACCCGCACAAGUAGUGGAGCAUGUGGUUUAAUUCGAAGAUACGCGCAGAACCUUACCAACACUUGACAUGUUCGUCGCGACUCUAAGAGAUUAGAGUUUUCGGUUCGGCCGGACGAAACACAGGUGCUGCAUGGCUGUCGUCAGCUCGUGUCGUGAGAUGUUGGGUUAAGUCCCGCAACGA
RNAcentral lists this ribosomal RNA (684 nucleotides) under uncultured Pseudomonadota bacterium. Its description in RNAcentral is "bacterial SSU rRNA". It matches the Rfam family "Bacterial small subunit ribosomal RNA", at positions 395 to 1095 of the family's 1533-position model. The record is from RNAcentral. Lineage: Bacteria; Pseudomonadati; Pseudomonadota.